RNAcentral lists this long non-coding RNA (233 nucleotides) under Trifolium pratense (red clover). RNAcentral describes it as "long non-coding RNA (TPRA_LNC011964)". The record is from RNAcentral. Lineage: Eukaryota; Viridiplantae; Streptophyta; Magnoliopsida; Fabales; Fabaceae.
GUAGUUUAAUUUUUUGGUAUACAUUAUGAUUUAUGAUUUGCAUAUUUGAUUUAUAAAUUAAAAUUUGUUUUGGCGGCCCACCCCAAUACUUUAGUCUAGCUCGGCCACUAGUUUCAACCUUGUACACCGUAGUACAAGUUAGCAACAAAUUGCAGAUGUUUGGUCUGGUGGAGUCUCACUUUUUGUGUGAUGUAGUUAGGGGUUUUCCUUUUAAAGACUCAAAGGAUUUGAGG